GGCCGUUUAGCUCAGUCAGUUGAGCAUAGCGCUAACAACGCUAAGGUGGCAGAUUCGAUUCCUGUUCGGUCG
Molecule: transfer RNA, 72 nt
Filed under: Apaloderma vittatum (bar-tailed trogon)
Lineage: Eukaryota; Metazoa; Chordata; Aves; Trogoniformes; Trogonidae
Rfam family: tRNA
About the family: Transfer RNA (tRNA) molecules are approximately 80 nucleotides in length.
Source: Rfam by way of RNAcentral